GAGCUAAUCAGGGAGUCUGUACACUUGCC
Molecule: non-coding RNA, 29 nt
Filed under: Rattus norvegicus (Norway rat)
Lineage: Eukaryota; Metazoa; Chordata; Mammalia; Rodentia; Muridae
Source: RNAcentral